GCCUUCUUGGUGUAGUUGGUUAUCACGUGGGUCUCAUAUCUUCAUAUAUGACUGUUCGACAGAGCAGAUAUCCCGAGGUCAGCAGUUCGAUCCUGCUAGAGGGCA
Alternaria ethzedia is the source of this 105-nucleotide non-coding RNA. The record is from the annotation of a RefSeq genome assembly. Lineage: Eukaryota; Fungi; Ascomycota; Dothideomycetes; Pleosporales; Pleosporaceae.